GAUGGUCACGCGGCCAAGCAA
Molecule: unclassified non-coding RNA, 21 nt
Filed under: Mus musculus (house mouse)
Lineage: Eukaryota; Metazoa; Chordata; Mammalia; Rodentia; Muridae
Description: oocyte_clustered_small_RNA8597
Source: RNAcentral